CGGGGCCUUGGCCCAGGGAGAAAAGCGCUGUUCCGCGUGGAAACGUGAGGAACGUUUACAGCUACUGUAAGAGGGGAGCUGAAGGGUGACCGUCAAGGGCAGCGUGUGCCCCACCUCGGGAAGCUGGCCAGAGAGGAGCCCCGGGGCCCACGGGGGCAUCCUUUACUCAAAGUCCGGGCUCACCCAGGAACAGGACCAGAGACAUUCCCGUACAUCCCAGAACUUUCCGGGGCCUCGUCGGUCUUAUCUCCAAGUACCUGCCUCCCACCCUGAGGGCCAAAGACACUGGACAACCCCCCCCCCCCCACUCUCCUCCCCCGCUCAGCAGGAGCAGAGGAAGACCACUAGGCUCAUCCAUCUGGCUCCUGGUUCUCAUCAGCCCCAGGCUAUGGGACAGUGCCUUAUCUCGGGCUUCUGUCGUGACGGGCCCUCUCCCAGGCUGUCACGGUGGUCUUUGCUUCCUUGGGCCUGCUGGUAUAACAAAUGAUGUUACAGAUGAAGGAACGGCCUGCACAUGGCUGAAAUACAAAUGGGUAAGCAAUUUUGUUCCACUCCAAACUCCACGGACGAA
Long non-coding RNA from Panthera uncia (snow leopard), 571 nucleotides. RefSeq lists it as uncharacterized. The transcript is spliced from 3 exons. The record is from RefSeq and is a predicted model, not a curated record. Lineage: Eukaryota; Metazoa; Chordata; Mammalia; Carnivora; Felidae.